RNAcentral lists this unclassified non-coding RNA (517 nucleotides) under uncultured Glomeromycotina. RNAcentral describes it as "SSU rRNA". It matches the Rfam family "Eukaryotic small subunit ribosomal RNA", at positions 571 to 1091 of the family's 1831-position model. The record is from RNAcentral. Lineage: Eukaryota; Fungi; Glomeromycota.
CAGCCGCGUAAUUCCAGCUCCAAUAGCGUAUAUUAAAGUUGUUGCAGUUAAAAAGCUCGUAGUUGAAUUUCGGGAUCAAUUUAUUGGUCGUGCUAUUGUACGUACUGGUAUUAUUGAUUCCUACCUUCUGACGAACCAUGAUGUCAUUAAUUUGGUGUCAUGGGGAAUCAGGACUGUUACUUUGAAAAAAUUAGAGUGUUUAAAGCAGGCUCACGCUUGAAUACAUUAGCAUGGAAUAACGAAAUAGGACGUUUGAUUCUAUUUUGUUGGUUUCUAGGAUCGACGUAAUGAUUAAUAGGGAUAGUUGGGGGCAUUAGUAUUCAAUUGUCAGAGGUGAAAUUCUUGGAUUUAUUGAAGACUAACUACUGCGAAAGCAUUUGCCAAGGAUGUUUUCAUUAAUCAAGAACGAAAGUUAGGGGAUCGAAGACGAUCAGAUACCGUCGUAGUCUUAACCAUAAACUAUGCCGACUAGGGAUCGGAUGAUGUUAAUUUUUUAAUGACUCAUUCGGCGCCUUAC